RNAcentral lists this ribosomal RNA (375 nucleotides) under uncultured organism. Its description in RNAcentral is "partial 16S ribosomal RNA". It matches the Rfam family "Bacterial small subunit ribosomal RNA", at positions 527 to 896 of the family's 1533-position model. The record is from RNAcentral.
GUAGGUGGCAAGCGUUGUCCGGAAUUAUUGGGGCGUAAAGCGCGCGCAGGUGGUUCUUUAAGUCUGAUGUGAAAGCCCCCCGGGCUCAACCAGGGAGGGUCAUUGGAAACUGGGGAACUUGAGUGCAGGAGAGGAAAGUGGAAUUCCACGUGUAGCGGUGAAAUGCGUAGAUAUGUGGAGGAACACCAGUGGCGAAGGCGACUUUCUGGCCUGUAACUGACACUGAGGCGCGAAAGCGUGGGGAGCAAACAGGAUUAGAUACCCUGGUAGUCCACGCCGUAAACGAUGAGUGCUAAGUGUUGGGGGGUUUCCGCCCCUCAGUGCUGCAGCUAACGCAUUAAGCACUCCGCCUGGGGAGUACGGUCGCAAAGACUG